UUUCCGUAGGUGAACCUGCGGAAGGAUCAUUGUCGAAACCUGCCCAGCAGAACGACCCGCGAACUUGUAUAAACAACCGGGGGCGGGGGGCGUUCUCGCCCCGUGCCCCCGAACGGCGGGGAGACACUCGUGCCUUCUUGCCGAACAACGAACCCCGGCGCGGUCUGCACCAAGGAACUUCAACUAAAGAGUGCCUCCGGUCGCCUCGGAAACGGCGUGCGUGCCGGGGGCGAAUCUUGUGCAAAACCAUAACGACUCUCGGCAACGGAUAUCUCGGCUCUU
This 282-nucleotide unclassified non-coding RNA is filed under the name plant metagenome. Its description in RNAcentral is "partial contains small subunit ribosomal RNA, internal transcribed spacer 1, and 5.8S ribosomal RNA". The record is from RNAcentral.